GACGAACGCUGGCGGCGUGCUUAACACAUGCAAGUCGAACGGAAAGGCCCUGCUUUUGUGGGGUGCUCGAGUGGCGAACGGGUGAGUAACACGUGAGUAACCUGCCCUUGACUUUGGGAUAACUUCAGGAAACUGGGGCUAAUACCGGAUAGGAGCUCCUGCUGCAUGGUGGGGGUUGGAGAGUUUCGGCGGUUGGGGAUGGACUCGCGGCUUAUCAGCUUGUUGGUGGGGUAGUGGCUUACCAAGGCUUUGACGGGUAGCCGGCCUGAGAGGGUGACCGGCCACAUUGGGACUGAGAUACGGCCCAGACUCCUACGGGAGGCAGCAGUGGGGAAUAUUGCACAAUGGGCGGAAGCCUGAUGCAGCAACGCCGCGUGCGGGAUGACGGCCUUCGGGUUGUAAACCGCUUUCGCCUGUGACGAAGCGUGGGUGACGGUAAUGGGUAAAGAAGCACCGGCUAACUACGUG
RNAcentral lists this ribosomal RNA (468 nucleotides) under uncultured bacterium. Its description in RNAcentral is "partial 16S ribosomal RNA". It matches the Rfam family "Bacterial small subunit ribosomal RNA", at positions 28 to 507 of the family's 1533-position model. The record is from RNAcentral.